AUCACACCUUUUUAUGCUCGAUUUGAGAUCUAAAUUUUAUUGUUAAAAAAGGCUAGCUGUUGUCAAAUAAAUUUUGUGAGCAGUUUUAAUACCGAGGGUGUGUCUUAUUUUGUGAGUUUUCAUUGGUUUGGAGUUUUUAGACCCUUCAUUGUUGACCAGUGGAAAACUUCCCGCCGAAGUGUUUCAAAUAGCACUUUGUCUUCAAACGAACAAGAUGGACACAUGCAGUUUACAGAAGCAAAAGAUUUGAUUUGAACUGUUCGUGAAACCACACAUACUCAAGAGAAUUUACAAGACUAUUAUCCACAAAAUGCAACAGUCUUAUUUUGAUGAAUUGUUGAACCAGAGAAAUGUGAAGACUUACAGACACCUAGACUGUAUAGUCAACAUAACAAUGAUUAGAGAAUCGGACUACAGUGAACAUUACAAUGAUUAGAAAAUCAGACUAGAGUCAACAUUACAAUGAUUAGAGAAUCAGACUAUAGUCAACAUUACAAUGAUUAGAAAAUCACCCAGCUGCAUUUCAUCAAUCAGUUUAUGAUGAAGCUUUACAGCAUUGGAAAUGAUUACUCAGGGACCAAACAACUGAGCAGAAAGAAGAACCGUAUGACCUUGAAGAGUAAGCAAUGUAUUAAGUAUAUUUGUGGUUACCAAAG
Mytilus trossulus (common blue mussel) is the source of this 656-nucleotide long non-coding RNA. RefSeq lists it as uncharacterized. The transcript is spliced from 3 exons. Lineage: Eukaryota; Metazoa; Mollusca; Bivalvia; Mytilida; Mytilidae. The record is from RefSeq and is a predicted model, not a curated record.